Molecule: ribosomal RNA, 341 nt
Filed under: Salticidae gen. 1 sp. 2 SPB-2018
Lineage: Eukaryota; Metazoa; Arthropoda; Arachnida; Araneae; Salticidae
Description: partial 28S ribosomal RNA
Source: RNAcentral
GUGUCGCGAGUCCCCUUUAGGGGACUCCACGUCUCCACCCCAGCGUUGCGGGACAGAUCGUGGCAAGGGCGUUUCGCUCUGCCGUCGCACCCCUCAGGUGUGGGCGGCGGAGUUCGGCUCCCCGAUGGCCGCGGCGGACCCGUGGGGGACAGGAGGCUGGCAGCGAGUAGGUCGGUCACCCACCCGACCCGUCUUGAAACACGGACCAAGGAGUCUAACAUGUGCGCGAGUCAAUGGGUCUUGAACAGGCCCAGGGGCGCAAUGAAAGCGAAGGGCCGCCGAGCGCGGUCCGAGCGGGGAUCCCCCUCCUUCGGGGGGGGGCGCACCCGCGACCCGUCCUG